This 1587-nucleotide long non-coding RNA is filed under the name Apteryx owenii (little spotted kiwi). RNAcentral's name for it is "lncRNA (ENSAOWG00000017843.1)". Lineage: Eukaryota; Metazoa; Chordata; Aves; Apterygiformes; Apterygidae. The record is from RNAcentral.
CAUAAUUUUACUCAGUAGCUGUAAAUAUGGUGGCCAUUCAUUUCAGUGCUUAGAAAGUAGCAUCACUUUUGAGGUAUCAUUUCACCAGCAUGUUUGUCCCUGUUCAGGAAUCUUACAGUCUUGCACACUGUUUUGCAUUGACUCAGUGGCUGCCCAGAUGAUGGUUGUCUGCUGUCCUGCCCACCAAAGCUGCAUAGAUCUCACAAGCAUCUGGGACUUCAUGCUCCAGAAGCCCUUUUCAUGAGAGAGAGACUUGUUAGCUGCAUUUGUACCAGCGCUUUCGUCCAGAAAACGGCAUGCUCCCGUAGGCCUGUUUAAAUAUGACCUGUGUCCUGAUGAGUUUGGGGAAGAGCGAGGCAUUCAGCAGCAGGAAUUCCCUUCUGAGAUGUAUCUCUGUGGUGCUUGGCACUGUGGUGUUGCAAGGCACUUUCACAAAGAUUUCAUGGACAUGUAAACGUUGCUGUGAGGCUCUUUGCUUUCCUGGUGUGAUCCAGACAGCUCUCAUGAACACCCAGGAGAUACACAGGUACAUGCCCAUUUUCCGAGCUGCAGUUCUGGGAAUUGCAUUCUUUCCUUUUGUAUAUUAAUUUUAGCAAGGAGAAUGGUAUUUCUCCCUGGUGCAUCAAUGUGCCAGUUCCCUGUUUCUCAGAGGACUUGCAUCCUCAAGGUGUAGCUGUACAAGCUAUUUGCCAGCAAUGUCGUUAUACGUCGGCAGGGUGGCUGUCUGUCCCUUCACCUGUGUCCCUUCACCCAUUUAGGAUCUCUCCACCCCUGGAGACACUGGGAAGGCUCUUUUUGAAUCCAGUAAGAAUCCACUUGGUCUUGAGGAUCUGCCUCAAGAGCAAGCAGUUUUCUCCCUGCAGACAGGAAUUAACCCUUCAGAGAUGCCAGUUAGGCUCCAUUUCAUCGCCGUUAGGGUUGCACUUCAAGUUGGAGACCACCCCAGUCUCCCCCACCCUCAGCCUCCAGCUGGUACCCAACCAUCACGCCUCCCCUCACCCUAUUGCUCUGCUUCUGUCCUGUUAGGUUUUUCUUCCUCCUGUGAGUAAUCUAGUGCUCCUGCCCUGGGGUGAAGCACCGUGGAAAGCCUCAGGAUUUCCUUCCCUUGAAACCCCACCAGAGCUCUGCUUUGUGCAGUGGGGCUGUUUUCGGCACUCCUUCCUAGGCUUCUCCCUCCCRGCUCACCUGGCAGCUCAGUCAUGCGCUCUCACACCCUGGUCGCCCCUCAUCUCAACAGAGCACUUCAGCGGGUGCCUAACUUGAAUCUGCAGCCCUGUUCAGGCAGGUUUUAAGCUAGCUGUAUGCCGACGUGCUUUGCUGGAGGUACGUGGCUGAAUUUGAAAGCUGUGUGGCUUCGAUAAUUUAGAGCCUACAUUAUGAUGUUGGUUUGAGCUUUUCAAGGAUCGGAAGAUUGAGCCAGAUGAUAUAACCAGAGCAUCAAACAAAAAAUUAAAACUGAAGAUAAAAUACAGUAGUUCAUUUUCUUUGCAGUUGGAUCUGUUUUCCUCCUUGCUUUCCCAAAAGUGAAUGGUCUUUGGGUUAGAGCCACAGAACUCUCCAGAACUGUGCGUACUGGGCAAAUCAUAA